AUGGCCUCCAUGGGGGGGGGGGGGGUGGGGGGGGGGGGGGGGGGGGUUGGCCGCCAUCCAUCCCCCCAUCAAUCAAUCAACCCCCAUCAAUCAAUCAACCCCCAUCAAUCGAUCAACCCCCGUCAAUCAAUCAACUCCUCCCCCCAUUCCAUUGGUGGGAGGGUCCUUCUCUCACAGCCCCAAUCCCAUUGGUGGGAGGUCAAUCAAUCAACCCCUUGUGGGAGGGUCCUUCUCACCCCCCCCCAACCCCAUUGGUGGUCAAUCCAUCAAUCAAUCAACCCCCCCCAUUCCAUUGGUGGAGGGUCCUUCUCUCACAAGCCCAAUCCCAUUGGUAGGUCAAUCCAUCAUCAAUCAAUCCCCACCUACUCCAUUAGGUGGAGGGUCCUUCUCGUCACAGCCCCAACCCAUUGGUGGGAGUCAACUCAAUCAACCCGCUUGUUGGAGAGUUCCUUUCUCACCCCCCCCCAACCCCAUUGGUGGUCAAUCAUCAAAUCACCCCAUCCCCCGAUCCCAUUGCGCUGGGGGGGGGCAUGCUCUCACAGCUUGAGCUCAUUGCCACCUUGAGGCGAUGGUUCUUGAAGUGCCAUGGAUGGUGCCGCGAUCGUUUGGAACCGGACCUCCGUUCAACGGAGAGCCGGGGCAGUUUGCAAACCUCCAUCUCCCAUUGACGAAGGAGUCGUUGGCGCGGGCUCCAUAGUGCACACAGCAGACGAAGCGCUCCUGCAGCUCACAGCGGCAGCUGUUGGCGGUCCAGCACUUUGCCGGAUCUCCGCUCACAUCUCCCCAGGUUCCAGCUGACGUUGUUUUCAUGCUCCGACGUGAAGCGUAAGGAGCAGGAGCUUGGCGUCCCGGGCGGUCGUCCUGUCCAGCCCACGGCCGGGCUGGAGGGAAAUGGGGGGUGAGAUGGGGGGAUAUUGGGGAUAUGGGGUAUGGGGGGGAUAUGGGGGCAAGUGGUGAUGGGGCGUAUGGUGGGAUUGGGGAUAACGGGGAGGGGGUAACAAGGUUAUGGGGGGUGAUGGGGUGAUGGGGGGGUGAUGGGGA
This 1041-nucleotide long non-coding RNA is filed under the name Coturnix japonica (Japanese quail). RNAcentral describes it as "lncRNA (ENSCJPG00005001826.1)". The record is from RNAcentral. Lineage: Eukaryota; Metazoa; Chordata; Aves; Galliformes; Phasianidae.